RNAcentral lists this ribosomal RNA (449 nucleotides) under uncultured bacterium. RNAcentral's name for it is "bacterial SSU rRNA". It matches the Rfam family "Bacterial small subunit ribosomal RNA", at positions 29 to 524 of the family's 1533-position model. The record is from RNAcentral.
AACGAACGCUGGCGGCAUGCCUAACACAUGCAAGUCGAACGAGACCUUCGGGUCUAGUGGCGCACGGGUGCGUAACGCGCGGGAAUCUGCCCUUGGUUCGGAAUAACAGUUAGAAAUGACUGCUAAUACCGGAUAAUGUCUUCGGACCAAAGAUUUAUCGCCCAGGGAUGAGCCCGCGUAGGAUUAGCUAGUUGGUGAGGUAAAGGCUCACCAAGGCGACGAUCCUUAGCUGGUCUGAGAGGAUGAUCAGCCACACUGGGACUGAGACACGGCCCAGACUCCUACGGGAGGCAGCAGUGGGGAAUAUUGGACAAUGGGCGAAAGCCUGAUCCAGCAAUGCCGCGUGAGUGAUGAAGGCCUUAGGGUUGUAAAGCUCUUUUACCCGAGAUGAUAAUGACAGUAUCGGGAGAAUAAGCUCCGGCUAACUCCGUGCCAGCAGCCGCGGUAAU